Molecule: ribosomal RNA, 1348 nt
Filed under: marine sediment metagenome
Description: bacterial LSU rRNA
Rfam family: Bacterial large subunit ribosomal RNA
Source: RNAcentral
AGUGGUAGGAGAGCGUUCUAGUCAGCAUUGAAGCCAUACCGGUAAGGAGUGGUGGAGCGGCUAGAAGUGAGCAUGCAGGCAUGAGUAGCGAGAAAACGGGUGAGAAUCCCGUUCGCCGUAAACCCAAGGGUUCCUACACUAUGCUCGUCAAUGUAGGGUUAGUCGGGUCCUAAGCUGAGUCCGAAAGGGGUAAGCGAUGGCAAAUUGGUUAAUAUUCCAAUACCAACUAAUAGUUUAGUACGAUGGGGGGACGCAUAGGGUUAAACGAGGUCACUGAUGGAAUAGUGGCUCGAAGGGUGUAGAUAAGCUGGAUAGGAAAAUCCGCCGGCUGUUUUCGAGACCUGACAGGCAGAUCGAGUUCUUCGGAACAACAUCUGAAUCGUUGAUACCGUCGUGCCAAGAAAAUCCUCUAAGUGUAUUAUUAGUUGCCCGUACCGUAAACCGACACAGGUGGGUGAGAUGAGUAUUCUAAGGCGCGUGGAAGAACCCUGGUUAAGGAACUCUGCAAACUAGCACCGUAACUUCGGAAUAAGGUGUGCCUCCUUCUGUAUAGAGAUUUACUCUCGAAAGCGGAAGAGGUUGCAACAAAGAGUCCCUCCCGACUGUUUAUCAAAAACACAGCACUUUGCUAACUCGCAAGAGGAUGUAUAAGGUGUGACGCCUGCCCGGUGCUUGAAGGUUAAUUGAUGGGGUUAGUUCUUCGGAACGAAGCUCUUGAUCGAAGCCCAAGUAAACGGCGGCCGUAACUAUAACGGUCCUAAGGUAGCGAAAUUCCUUGUCGGUUAAAUACCGACCUGCAUGAAUGGCGUAACGAGAUGGGAGCUGUCUCAACCAGGGAUCCAGUGAAAUUGUAGUGGAGGUGAAAAUUCCUCCUACCCGCGGCAAGACGGAAAGACCCCGUGCACCUUUACUAUAGCUUGACACUGCAAUUGGGAUAUAUUUGUGCAGGAUAGGUGGGAGGCUUUGAUUCUAUGGCGCUAGCUGUAGAUGAGCUAUCCUUGAGAUACCACCCUUAUAUAUUCUGAUUGCUAACUUGCUUGGGUUAUCCCCAAGGAGGACAAUGUCUGGUGGGUAGUUUGACUGGGGCGGUCGCCUCCUAAAAAGUAACGGAGGCUUACAAAGGUUGGCUCAUAUCGGUUGGAAAUCGAUAGCAGAGUAUAAUGGUACAAGCCAGCUUAACUGCGAGACGUACAUGUCGAGCAGAGACGAAAGUCGGUCAUAGUGAUCCGGUGGUUCUGUGUGGAAGGGCCAUCGCUCAAAGGAUAAAAGGUACGCCGGGGAUAACAGGCUGAUCUCCCCCAAGAGCUCACAUCGACGGGGAGGUUUGGCACCUCGAUGUCGGCUCAUC